RNAcentral lists this ribosomal RNA (301 nucleotides) under uncultured bacterium. Its description in RNAcentral is "partial 16S ribosomal RNA". It matches the Rfam family "Bacterial small subunit ribosomal RNA", at positions 509 to 807 of the family's 1533-position model. The record is from RNAcentral.
CAGCCGCCACGGUAAUACGAAGGGGGCUAGCGUUGCUCGGAAUGACUGGGCGUAAAGGGCGCGUAGGCGGACAGUUCAGUCGGGGGUGAAAGCCCGGGGCUCAACCUCGGAAUUGCCUUCGAUACUGGCUGUCUUGAGUAUGAGAGAGGUGUGUGGAACUCCGAGUGUAGAGGUGAAAUUCGUAGAUAUUCGGAAGAACACCAGUGGCGAAGGCGACACACUGGCUCAUUACUGACGCUGAGGCGCGAAAGCGUGGGGAGCAAACAGGAUUAGAUACCCCUGUAGUCCCUGUCUCUUAUAC